UGCCUGGGUCUUUCCAGCAACAGGAAGGGGGGCAAGACCCUCUCCCUCUUCCCCUUCCAGGUAGAGAGGCACACAGACAAGCCCCUACACACUCCGCUGAAACACAGUCAUACCUAACAUGUGAGCGCGCGCACACACACACACGCACACACGCGCGCACGCGCGCGCACACACACACACACACACACGCACGCAGGCACAGCCAGGCAGUUUUACAAGGAGGUGGCAUGGAGAUGCUAUCUACGUGCCGUGAUCUGAGCGCCCCACCAUAAAUCCGUCAGCGUGCCUGCAUAUUUACCAUUGAGAGAUUACCUUGAGAAGCUUUUUGGCCAAGUCUCUUAACAAAAAUGUGAAAAACACAAAAGUGAACAAGGGGACUUCUUAAGGCUUUUUGCUUAAAGAGGGCUUCUGAGAGGGGCAGGGGCAGCGGAAACAGACCCCACUUCCUGUCUUGGCUACAAGUCUGUCCUGGCCAGAGCUGCCCAAAGUAGGUGUCCUAUUAAACUGGUGGGGGUAGCGGAGAGGGGGUGCCCUCAUUUCCUGCGCUAUCUGCACUCUUCCAGGGUCAUACAAAUACUGCUGCCCCUCGUUAGGUGCCUAUGGCGUGCUAGGUAUGUGCAAACGCUUUGUGUCCGUGUUCACCGAGCCCCAUAGUGAGGGUAUUAUCUCCACUUUACAGAGAAGGAAACUGAAGCUCAAGACUUGCCUAGGGUCACGGCUGUCGUGUGGUGGGGCAUCUAGCCUCUGCUCAUCCCCUCGGCACGGGAGAUGGAGUCUCACUCUGGGAAGGGAGGGGGCGGGAGCUGCCAAGGGUCCCAGUGACUGACUUCAGAGCCGGGGACAUGCUGCCUGGAGACCAAGGAACACAGGUGGCAGCUCCACGCCGGCGGGCCACCCCAUGGGGACGCUGCUUCUCCUUCAUGGCAUUUGGGCAGCUCCAUCCUCACUCCAGGGUUGGGGUGAGUUAGGACAUAGGGGCAAAUGGGCUCACAGAGCCUGUCUGCUCACCCUGCCCCCCAACCCCAGGGAGGUUACGAAAAACCAACCCCCUGACUUUGGGGGUUCUGGACUCCUCAUCGUCAUAAUCCCACAAACUAUUUUUGGAGGAAAUGGGCUGUCACCCUUGAAUUGAGCCCCUGGUAAUUGGAAUAGAUAGGGCACCUCACUGCCCCAAGAGCCCAUGAGAACUUCUCAUAUUACCCCCCAGAGGGCGCUAUUGCCAAAACAGCCCAGAAGCUCAAUCCUGUUGAGACUUCUCAGAGCUCCCUGGCAGAACCCCUCACCCUAGGGUGCCUGCAGCUGAACCUCCUCUCAUCACAGCCUGACCCCACCACCCAUCAUCCACUCCAGCUGCAUAUCUGCUCAAAUUCUGCUCCCAAGCUGAUAUGCAAGUACGUUGAAAACUUCACUGAGCUGAACGCUUCUGCUGCUGUCUGAGGCAGUCCUGCACAUGUACCCCGAUUACUGGAUGUCCCCCCAUUUUCAGGUCCCUUGGGGUCCAGGGCAGUGACGAGGAGAGAUCUCAGCGGAGGUUGUUUGGAGCAGGUUGAUACUGGAUACAAGAAGGGAAAG
This is a long non-coding RNA of Myotis daubentonii (Daubenton's bat), 1572 nucleotides long. RefSeq lists it as uncharacterized. Lineage: Eukaryota; Metazoa; Chordata; Mammalia; Chiroptera; Vespertilionidae. The record is from RefSeq and is a predicted model, not a curated record.